GCUGGUGUGGCAUAGUGGUUUGAGCAUUGGCCUACGACUUUGGAGACCAGGGUUCAAUUCCCUGCUCAGCC
RNAcentral lists this transfer RNA (71 nucleotides) under Phrynosoma platyrhinos (Desert horned lizard). RNAcentral's name for it is "tRNA-OTHER". Lineage: Eukaryota; Metazoa; Chordata; Lepidosauria; Squamata; Phrynosomatidae. The record is from RNAcentral.